GUUGUGGGAAGUCAUGGCUAUGGUGCCAUCAAAAGGUAUUCCCUCAAACUUGUUCCAACCAUUUCGAUCGAGUGGAACAACCAUCGCUGAUUUGUGUGAUUAAGUUUGAGCCGAGCUUGAUGAUACUUGUUUUCUGUGGAAAAUUUAAUGCUUUGUUUGGUUCUGGUGCAGGGCGGUUCUGGGAAGCGUAAGCGACUACUGCACUCAUCACGCUCACUGCACCGUGAUGAUUGUGAAGAAGCCUAAAAUCAAGCACUGACUGGCCUCUGGGGUUCAGUUAAGCACGACGAACUCAGAUUCGUGUUUGAAAAAUUGCUGAUAUAUAGAUAAUAAAUUUGUCCCCUUGAGAGUUGAAUCUUGAAAGGUUGUAUGUUUAUAUACUUUGUACUUAUGGUUUGAUCGUUCAAAAUUCAGAGUAUGGCAUGUAUUUUAUAGGUUGAAACAAGAUUCCGAGAUUUAGUAAUCAACUACCGAAUUAGAAUACUUAUUUCCCGCUCAAAGUGAUUAGAAAUGACUAACUCCCUUCCUGAUAGACUCAAAUAUGAAAGCAAAAUGCUUCACAGAACUCAAAGGCUAAUAAGUUUUUAUCUCUAUAUAUAUACCCAUACACGCAUACGUACAUGUAGAAAAGUCGGAGAUGCACCGACCGGAUUAGAGUCCAAUCUCCGGUAAUUCUCGUCGGGACCAAGCUUGCGCUCGAGCCCAAAGUAGGAGUUCUCGAAGAGGACGCCAAAGUGGUGGAGGCCAGGGCAGCAGACAGCGACCUUGUGAAGGGAGGCCCAGCCGCCGGAGGCUCCUGAGGCUCGGAGGAGCCGGUAAGGAGAUCAGAGAUGACGGAGGGGAUGACCUUGUAGCACUCGGUCUUCCAGCAGACGUUACGGAUCAAGGCGGAAAACUCGGUGCAGGAGAACUUAAGAAAUAAAACUUGGUGCGGGAGAACUUACCUCAUCAAUAAUUAUUGCACAUCAAGUGAACUUCUUUACCAGUUUUCACUUAUGGUGUAGUUUGUUGCUGUUAGAUUCGGUUAAGGGCAUGAGAUGCUUUUGAAUGUGAUUAUGAUUUUGUCAAUCGAGAAAAGUACUAUUCUCAUCGUCAUGUAUCAAAAGUUCGAAUUAGCUGUCGAGAAAAGUACCAUUCUCUUCGUCUCAUUGAGAAGUAUGAUUUUCGUUUUUGAAUUAUUCGAUUUUGUAGACUUAAAAAAGUUAUGAACGUUUAAAAUUUAUUCAGUUUUUUAUAAGUUUUCCAGUUUUUCCGCUGAUCAGUCAUCUUUCAGGCUAUUUUUCGGCCAUCUCCAGCAACCAUUGGUCUUCCAAAUAAGUAUAAUCUUGUUCUACACUUUCUCAUCUUCAUUUUGAUAUAUUAUGUGUCGAAUUUGGUUAAGAAAUGAUUGAGUUAUAAAACUUUGAAAAUUGUCCAAACUUCUGGCCAAGAGUUUCGGCACACUUAACGGAGUUUUUAACGAAAUGACCAAAAUAAUGGAUGGUGAAUAAUCUCACACACCAUUCCUAUUGAUUUUCAAUCUCAAAGGCUAAAAUAAUAAAUGGUGGAUAAUCUCAGACAUCAUUUCAGAUAAAUUUUAUUUCUUAAGUUAUCAACGUUCUGAUAUACAUAUUUGAUGAUUUGUAUAAUAAAUGUACCAUCCGUAUCAUUGAAAAAUCUUUCCAUUUAAAUAAUAGCCGGCCAGAAAGAAGAAGGAACUAGAAACGAGAACACAACAAAGAAGGUGAAGAACUAGAGAGAGAGAGAGAGAGAAAGGUGAGCAUUAAUGGCGGCAGGGAAGCAAGUGAUGGUGAUCGGAGCGGACGACAGCGAGGAGGGCCAUUACGCUCUGGAAUGGACUUUGGAUCACCUCUUCAAGCCUUUGGGCGGCGACACAGCUCCGUUCAAGCUCAUCAUCGUCCACGCCAAGCCAUCGGUUUCCUCCGUCGUUGGCUUCGUCGGCCCCGGUAAGAGUCCUAACUGCAACGGGAAGUGAUCUCUGAAAACCUUUAUGUCUUACCUGCUAAUUAAUCAAUUGUUUGUUUAGUUAAUUAUGAUUAGCUAAUUUGCGUGUUGUGCCGAAUUGCAGCAGGGGCGGAGGUUCUGCCGAUCGUGGACGCUGAUUUGAAGAAGAUGGCUGCCCGUGUAACUGAGAGGGCCAAGGAAUUUUGCGCUUCUAAAUCGGUAUUUGUCAAAUUUUAUUUAUUGGACUUUUAUCACACACCGUCCUUGAAAUUGACCCAAACUAUGGUCCCUAAAAUUGAAAUUCGAUCAAUAUAAUCUCUGAAAACGGAUGUCAAUUUAUAUAAUUUAUAAAGGAUAUCGAACUUAAGCAUGAGCAGGGUGAACGCAAUGAUAUGAACAACUCACAUUUGUAACGUCUUUCCAUAUGAGCGUUUCCGGCAUAUAUUCAAAAAGAGAUUUGAAAUUCUUACGCUAUCAUAUGUCAGAACGGAACCUAAUGAUCUCACACCGAUGUGAUACGAAGAAGUUGCGCUUUCGCUGGCAGCUUUUCUGAGCAUUACAUGUUCUAAUGGUUGCAGGUGACCGAUGUGGUCGUGGAGGUUAUGGAAGGAGAUGCUAGGAACGUUCUGUGUGAGGCUGUUGAAAGACACCACGCAUCCAUCUUGGUUGUGGGAAGUCAUGGCUAUGGAGCCAUCAAAAGGUUUUCCCUCAAACUUGUUCCAACCUUUUCGAUCGAGUGGAACAACCAUCGCUAAUUUGUGCGAUUAAGUUUGAGCCGAGCUUGAGGUUACUUGUUUUCUGUGGAAAUCUUAAUGCUUUGUUUGGUUCUGGUGCAGGGCGCUUCUGGGAAGCGUAAGCGACUACUGCGCUCAUCACGUUCACUGCACCGUGAUGAUUGUGAAGAAGCCAAAAACCAAGCACUGAGUGGCCUCUGGGUUCAGUUAAGCACGACGAACGCAUAUUCGUGUUUGAAAAAUUACGAUAUUUAGAUAAUAAAUUUGUCCCCUCGAGAGUUGAAUCUGGAAAGGUUAUAUGUAUAUAUACUUUGUACUUAUGGUUCGAUCGUUCAAAAUGCAGCGUAUGGCAUGUAUUUUAUAGGUUGAAGGAUGAAGCUUUCAAACUUCUGUAUGACGAGUUGAAUCUUGACAAGAUGAAGCUUUCAUGGCAACACAACAAUUGAGAAAAAUGGAGCCAAUAGCCAUCAGUUGGAAAUUAAAAGAUUAGGCAAGUCAGACUACAAGUAAAGUUUGGUCUUCGGACUACAAACGCAGCAGUCAACUCUCUUAUUAGUGCAAAACAUAUAGAAAGAAUCAAGAUUCCGAGACUUAGUCAUCAACUACCGAAUUAGAAUACUUCUUUCCUGCUCACAGCGAUUACAAAUGACUAAGGGCUGGUUUGGUAUUGCUGUGUUUUAAAAAAAAAAAACUGCUUCUACUGUGAUGUGGGAAUAAGCAGUUGUGAAAUAAAGUAACGGAGUGUUUAGUAAACUUUUUUGUAAAAGUGCUUUUGGAAAAAAAAACAGUAUUAUAGUGUUUGAUAAACUUUUAUGUAAAACAGAUAUGAUUAUAUGAAAUAACCAAAAAAUGUAUAAUACUAGAUGUGCCAUUAAUUUAAUUUUCUUAAGUCUUACCCCUUUAUUUUCUCCAUUUGCAUCGAGAAGUCUCUCCAACUACCCCACUACUGAAACAGACUUUCCAAAAACCAAAAACGUCUCUCAAGAAGUCUCCCUCAAAACCCCAAUUCUCUCAGUUUUUUUUUUUUUUUUUGUGGCUCCGUCUUCUUCUUUUUUAUUUUCUGCUCCGUUCCUUAAUCUUUCUCACCUGUCAUCUGAUUUGCAAUACAUACAUGGUCUAGCUGCUUGAGGAGUUCAUUAUAUACAUCAAGUAGGGCCAACGCUCCACGAUGCUGGUUUUUUUCUUCUUCCAGGACUAAUUAUUUUUUCUUUUUGAAACUAUAUAGUGUGAAUUUGAUCAUACGAAGUAGUUUCCUGUAUUUAAUUUUGGGUAUUUGGAAUAAUUGAGUUUUGAUGUCUGUUUGGGCAAUCUGGGCUCUCUUAAUUUGCAGAAAUACAAAGAUCAGUAGCCUGUAAGCGACGCAAUCUGGGAAAUCUGGGCAAAUAUGCGAUGCCUAAGCCGAAUCUAGUCCUCGCCGGAAAAGAUAGUGGUAUUUCUUAGCUCGAUUUUGUCAGCAUAGGAGUGAGAGAUGACGGACAAGAGAUGGGAGGAAGGACAAAGGCAGAAACAACGUCCUAGGGUAUGGAAUCCAAGGUCAAUAACGGUGAUUGUUGAAACUAGGAGUGAACGGCGUUGUGGUGGGAUCGACGAGGACGACCUUCCAAUUGAAGUCGGCGACGUUUUUUAGUUGGUAUUAUGUGUAAUUAUUUAAUUGUUUAAGGUCAUUUUGGGUGUUUGAAAGUUUCAUUAAAGGGUUUAGUGCCUCUUGCAAGAUAAAACGUAUAUCUACACAUGCCACUUUGAAUGUUAAGUUUUCCUAAUUUAUAUUCUACUUGGAACCUCCAACAUAGAACGUAUAUCUAACAUGCAAUCCGUCUGGACAUUCGGAUAAACUCUGAACAUGAGAGACUCAUUAUGCUUUAUGAAAACCCUUUUGAAAAACUAUGCAACCCUUAAGACGUGGUGUUCAUCUUAAAUGAAAUUACAAUUAUUAACCACAAUAAGCCAGCGUCAAUUUCAGGGAACUUUCCGACUAAAAUUGCAUCAAAUUACUUUUCUAAAGAUCUUAAUGGUGACUAGGCAUUAAGACAAUUAGAUAGUUUUAAUCAUGGUGAUUAAUAAUUCAAAGUAAGCAUGCAAUCAAUCAUAAGUGAUUAAAUAAAAAUUACAUAUUCAUGAUAAGGCUCAAGGUUUUGCCUUAACAAAAUGAAUUAGUUACCCAUAUUCAUAAUUAAAAUCAUAGAAAAUAUUAUUAUAAAGAAAAGGAUUGAAAACACCUUAAAGUAGAAAAUCUUCAAGAACCCUUGCAAUUCUCUCUAUCUCCAAAGUUUCAUAAAAGCAAGCGUACCCAAAAUUGAACACGGCAAAGUAAUAUACCCUGCUAUGCCAUCGCACAAUCCCUAAAACUCAGGUCUUUUACUCCAACUAGGAAACUAAAUAAUAAUAAAAUAACUUAGAAAAUAAAAUCCUAAUUGAACUAGGAGAAUCUGCCAAGUACUUGUCCAGCCACGUUUUAGCCUCAAAUAUCCCCCAAAUCUGGCCCAUGAUAGCUUGUUUUGAAGAUCAGGACGUUCUAAACACAUCUCUAAAAGGCCACGAACCCAUCCGAGGUUAUCUUGAGCUCCAAAAACGUAAUUCAAACCCAAAAUGUCUUUAUUCCAGCACUGCGCAUCGCUCCUUUAUUUUAUGGGAGUUUUAACGAAAAGCUCAUGGUACUGUUCACUUUAACGAAAACCCACAUUUUUACACUAAAAAAUCAAACAUGUUACUAUUCACUUUACCCUUUAUUUUGUCAUUAUCGUUAAAAUUCAAAGUUUUCAAGCCUUUUACAUUAGUUUUCCUUUAUUUUAUUGCCAGAAAGUCACCGCUAGGUAGAAAAUUCCAAAUUUUGACACAAUCAAGCCAAGUGACUCACGAACGUCCUCCAACUGGAAUUACUCCAAAAUUCAUCUAUUUGACCGUGUUUUGCUCUAGAGAAAGUUGAAAGUCCUAUAUUAAAAAUAUAAUUCAAAGUAUCAAAAAAAUUUCAAAAUAUUAAUUAAAAUAUACUAAAUAUAGGAUUAAAUAUAUAAUAUAAAAUAUAGUAAUCAAUCACAUUGAAAAAUCUUUUCUUUUAAAUAAUAGCCGGCCAGAAAUAAGAACUGGAGAGAGAAACGAGAACACAAGAAAGAAGGUGAAGAACGAGAGAGAGAGAGAGAGAGAGAGAGAGAGAGAAAGGUGAGCAUUAAUGGCGGCAGAGAAGCAAGUGAUGGUGAUCGGGGCGGACGACAGCGAGGAGAGCCACUACGCUCUGGAAUGGACUUUGGAUCACUUCUUCAAGCCUUUCGGCGGCGACACUGCUCCGUUCAAGCUCAUCAUCGUCCACGCCAAGCCAUCGGUUUCCUCCGUCGUUGGCUUCGUCGGCGCCGGUAAGAAUCUUAACUGCAACGGGAAGUGAUCUCUGAAAACCUUUAUGUGUUACCUGCUAAUUAAUCAAUUGUUUGUUUAGUUAAUUAUGAUUAGCUAAUUUGCGUGUUGUGCCGAAUUGCAGCAGGGGCGGAGAUUCUGCCGAUCGUGGACGUUGAUUUGAAGAAGAUGGCUGCCCGUGUAACUGAGAAGGCCAAGGAAUUUUGCGCUUCUAAAUCGGUAUUUGUCAAAUUUUAUUUAUUUGGUUUUUUAUCGCACACCGUAAUUGACCCCUGAAGAGAAAGUUACUCAAGUAACUCAACAUAAUAGUAAUAACAAACAGUUAAAAGUUAGUUAGGAAAAUUACCACACUUGUAACUUUCCUUUACUCUGUUAGUCUGUUGUAUUUAGCUUCCAUAUAAAUACUCUUGUAACUUAUCCUUUGAGGUAAUGAAAAUCAUUUCACAAUAUGGUAUCACUCGCCUAAAGUCUCCCGACUAAGAUCCUUCGUACGCUUCCUCUCAUUUUCUUAGUAACCAAACAGGUCUCAUUCCUGUCAUUUUCUCUCUGCAAUCAACAAUCUAUGGCGGCCAAUUCUUCGACUUCUUCUUCCCCAGUGAUCGCGCACCAUCCUUCUCCUCCUGUGCUUGCUGAUCCUCCUUCUUCUUCUCCAAAUCCUCAUCCUUCGGUUCAGUUGCCCACAAACCCUAAUUCUUCAAUUCAGGCCUCGAUCAACUCGAUUACGAUACACAAUAUCGGCAGCAUGAUUCAGACUAAGCUCAAGCGCCAUAACUAUCUUGUGUGGCGAUCUCUCUUCGAGCCGAUCUUUCGUCGCUACAAACUUACCGGUAUUGUUGACGGAUCUGAACCUCCACCGCCUCAAUUUCUUGCUGAUGAUUCUGGUCGAUUCACCUCCGUUCCUAAUCCAGACUAUGAAUUGUGGUAUGAGAAGGAUCAGAACAUCAUUAUCUGGAUCAAUUCCACACUUUCGGAAGAUCUGAUUCCUUUCACUGUUGGUGUUCAAUCUGCGCGAGAACUCUGGCAAAAUCUUGAACGGCGGUUUGGCGGUGUAUCUCGUUCUCACAUUCAUCAACUCCGUUCAACCUUGCAAUCUGCCAAGAAAGGUUCAUCUUCUAUUUCGGAGUAUCUCCAACGCAUCAAGGAGGCUACUGAUGCUCUUGCCGCCGCUGGUGCUCCUGUGGAUGAUCAUGAUCUACUUCUCAUCAUUCUCAAUGGCUUACCUGAUGAGUAUGAUUCUUUUGUGGAUUCUGUUCAGUUUCGACUUGCUGAUACUACUGUUGAUGAUCUUCACGGAUUUUUGUUAAGUAAAGAAAUGGCUCUUGCUCGCAAAGCAUUCCACUCAAGGAACAAAAUUCUGCACCCUAUCAAGCUUUUCAGUCUAUUCCAGCGUCUUCACCUCCACUCCUUCCUACACCUCAGGCGUAUAUUGCUCAGCCUCCUCAUUCCUCUAAUUUCAACAGAGGCAAUUUUCAGCGCAAUAAUUCUCAAAGGAAUUAUAAUAAUCGCAAUCGAUACACUCGUAACCACAUCAACAAGAAUGCUUCUAAUCGUGAAGGAAAUCGUAAUGGUGAAGGAUUUCGUAAUGGUGCUCGGUUCUUUAACAAUAAUUCCAGGAAUGUUCCUUGUCAAAUCUGUGAAGACACUGGUCAUCAAGCGAUUGACUGCUCCAAUCGUAUGAAUCCCAAUUUUCAAGGCCGUAUUCCACCAGCUAAGCUUGCUAUGUAUGCUCGCUCAAAUGCCUCUUCUUCUCCUCCGUGGCUACUUGACUCUGGAGCAAGCUCUCAUAUGACCAACAACCUCCAAAAUCUUCAGAAUCCACAACCUUACAGUGGCCCCCGAUAAAGUCUACAUUGGAGACGGCCAAGGUUUGCCGAUUCUCCACUCUGGUUCCUCGUUACUUCAUACUCCUUCUGCUACUUUUAAAUUACAAAAUGUGUUGCAUGUUCCACACUUGAAGCAUGAUCUUGUUUCUGCAAAUAUGUUUCUUAGAGACAAUUGGUGUUCCUUAACUCUAAAUCCUUUUGACUUUCAUGUCAAGGAUCUUACUACGGGGAGGAUGCUUUUUAGAGCUCCUGUUCGCUGUGGUCUCUAUCCCUUUUCUGCAUCUUCUCAGUCUUCAUCGAAGCAUCAUGGUCUUACUGCACUCAAGGCAUCACAACACACUUGGCAUCAACGUUUGGGGCAUCCAACGUUCAAGACUUUGCAAUCUGUGAUCUCAAAGUCUUCCUUGCCUUUAUCUACUAUUGUCAAACAAUCUUUCUGUUCGAAUUGUGUUUUAGGCAAAUGUGCCAAGUUACCUUUUCAGAAUUCUAUUUGUCAUUCUUCUAGAUCUUUAGAGUUGGUUCAUGCGGAUGUUUGGGGUCCCGCUCCCCUGUCUUCUAUCAGUGGAUAUCGAUUCUAUGUCAUAUUUGUUGAUGACUUUACUAAGUACACUUGGCUGUAUCCUCUCAAACAUAAAUCAGAAGUAUUUCAAGUUUUUGUUCACUUUCAAGCUCUUGUUGAAAAUCUGUCUGGUCACAAAAUUGGCACUUUGAGAUGUGACUCAGGGGGUGAGUUUAUUAGUACUCAGUUCAAACAGCAUUUGUCCAGUCAUGGCAUUCAUCAACAUUUUAGCUGUCCAUACACUCCUCAGCAGAACGGGUGUGCAGAACGGAAACACCGACACAUUGUGGAAACAGCCAGGACACUACUUAUUGCAUCUCAGGUUCCUCAUCAAUUUUGGGUAGAAGCAUUUCUCACUGCAGUUUAUCUCAUUAAUCGGCUUCCUCCAACUGCUAAAUCUUCACCCUGGGAGCAAUUUUUCAAGAAGAAAACCAGAUUAUACUCAACUGAAAAUCUUUGGUUGCAGCUGCUAUCCUUGGCUCAAGCCAUAUACACAGUCCAAACUCGACCCCAAGAGCAAGUUAUGCGUUUUUAUUGGCUACAGUUUGGUUCACAAAGGUUACAGAUGCUUAGACCCCUUCACCAAUAGAGUGUAUGUCUCCCGGCAUGUCUACUUUGAUGAAACCACAUUCCCAUUUCAUAAUCCCUCUCUUGUUUCACAGCUACCCUCUUGUGCUUCCUCCUCAGUCACUCCUUCCUCAUUUUCCCUUACCUUUCCCAACCUUUAUUCUUCAUCCCCUCUUACUCCUUCUAUUACACGUUCACAAUCCCUUACCUCUCCCCCUGUCUUUCAACCUCCACCCUCUGUAAGUCCUACUGACUUUGCAUCUGAAUCAGUUUCUGUACCUGCACCUGUCUCAGUUCCUAAUAUUGUCCCAGUUCCUGAUAUUGUCCCUGUCCCACCUCCAACCCUUCCUGUCUCUACUCAUCCUAUGCAAACCAGGUCCAAAUCUGGAAUUUUUAAACCCAAGGCCUUUACUGUUACCAAGCAUCCUCUUCCUUCCAACUUAAACACUGAAUUUGUUCCAACUACAUACAUUCAGGCAUCCAAAUAUCCCCAUUGGAGAACUGCAAUGCAGGAUGAGUUUAAUGCUCUGCAAAAUACAAGAACUUGGACAUUGGUUCCUUCUGAUCCUUCUUACAAUCUCGUUGGGUGCAAAUGGGUCUUCCGGAUUAAAAGGAACCCUGAUGGUUCUGUGGACCGUUAUAAAAGCCCGGUUAGUAGCUAAGGGCUACAAUCAGCAGGAGGGUAUUGAUUACAGUGAUACGUUUAGCCCAGUGGCUAAACCAGUUACAAUUCGACUCUUCUUCUCACUCUUGCAGUUCAGUCAAAUUGGUUUCUGCAUCAAUUGGAUGUCAGUAAUGCGUUCUUGCAUGGCUCUCUCAAGGAAGAUGUGUAUAUGUCUCAGCCUCCAGGCUUCAUUGAUCAGGACAAAUCUUCUUUAUGUUUGUCACUUGCAAAAAUCCCUCUAUGGCUUGAAACAAGCUCCUCGGGCUUGGUUUGAAAAACUGCAAUCUGCUCUAUUCUCUAUGGGAUUUAAGGCCUCACAAUCUGAUCACAGCUUGUUUGUGUUGCAACAACCUGUCUUGGUGAUUGUUUUGGUUUAUGUUGACGACAUUCUUGUCACCGGACCUUCUUCCACAGCCUGCACUAAUGUUAUCUCUCAACUUAGUGAUCAGUUUCCCAUUAAGGAUUUAGGCGAUCUGCAUUUUUUCCUUGGUUUGGAGGUUACCCGAGAUUCUACAGGAAUCUUUAUUCAUCAAUCUAAGUACAUCUUAGAUCUUCUCAAACGCACUAAAAUGGAUGGAGCAAAGCCCUGCACCACUCCUCUUGGUUCUACUAAGCUUGAUCUCACUGGUUCUCCAUUGGAUAAUCCAGAGGAAUAUCGCUCUAUUGUUGGUGCUCUUCAGUAUCUUACAUGGACUCGUCCGGAUCUCUCCUUUUCAGUAAACUUGGUCUGUCAGUUUAUGCAUUCUCCUCGGGAACCCCAUUUUCAAGCAGUGAAGCGCAUACUUCGCUAUCUUAAGGGAAACACUUGGCUAUGGUCUCUGGUUUCCUAAAAACUCGGCUCCUCUUACUCUCAACGCAUAUUCUGAUGCUGAUUGGGCAGGCUGUUCCUGGGAUAGACGUUCUACUGGGGGAUUUUGCAUCUUUCUUGGAUCCUCUCUCAUCAGCUGGAGUGCCAAGAAGCAACACACCGUUGCUCGUUCCUCCACCGAAGCUGAAUAUAGGUCCUUGGCACACACUGCUGCUGAAUUAACAUGGAUCUGCAAAUUGUUCACUGAUAUUGGUUUCAAGCUGCCUUCUCUUCCUCAAAUUUGGUGUGAUAAUGUUUCUGCGAUCGCCCUUGCUUCCAACCCUGUUUUCCAUGCUCGUACCAAGCAUGUGGAAAUAGAUUACCAUUACAUAAGGGAACUUGUUCUUGCCAAGUUGCUGGCUGUCCAAUUUGUAUGCAGUCAGGAUCAACUUGCUGACAUUCAUACCAAAUCCCUUCCUAGGCAACGCUUUCUUUUUCUCCGGUCCAAGCUAUCACUUCAACCUUCUCCGUUUAGCUUGAGGGGGUGUGAAGAGAAAGUUACUCAAGUAACUCAACAUAAUAGUAAUAACAAACAGUUAAAAGUUAGUUAGGAAAAUUACCACACUUGUAACUUUCCUUUACUCUGUUAGUCUGUUGUAUUUAGCUUCCAUAUAAAUACUCUUGUAACUUAUCCUUUGAGGUAAUGAAAAUCAUUUCACAAUAACCCCAACUAUCAAGAUGGUCCCUAAAAUUGAAAUUCGAUCAAUAUAAUCUCUGAAAACGGAUGUCAAUUUAUAUAAUUUAUAAAGGAUAUCGAACUUGAGCAUGAGCAGGGCGAACGCAAUGAUAUGAACAACUAACCUAACUCACAUUUGUAACGUCUUUUUAUAUGAGCCUUUCUGAGCAUUACAUGUUCUAAUGGUUGCAGGUGACCGAUGUGGUCGUGGAGGUUAUGGAAGGAGAUGCUAGGAACGUUCUGUGUGAGGCUGCUGAAAGACACCACGCAUCCAUCUUGGUUGUGGGAAGCCAUGGCUAUGGAGCCAUCAAAAGGUUUUCCCUCAAACUUGUGCCACCCUUUUCGAUCGAGUGGAACAACCAUCGCUAAUUUGCGUGAUUAAGUUUGAGCCAAGCUUGAGGAUACUUGUUUUCUGUGGAAAUUUUAAUGCUUUGUUUGGUUCUGGUGCAGGGCGUUUCUGGGAAGCGUAAGCGACUACUGCGCUCAUCAAGCUCACUGCACCGUGAUGAUCGUGAAGAAGCCUAAAACCAAGCACUGAGUGACCUCUGGGGUUCAGUUAAGCGCAACGAACACAUACUCGUGUUUGAAAAAUUACGAUGUAUAGAUAAUAAUUUUGUCCCCUUGAGAGUUGAAUCUUGAAAGGUUAUAUGUAUAUAUACUUUGUACUUAUGGUUUGAUCGUUCAAAAUUCAGAG
Molecule: long non-coding RNA, 11853 nt
Filed under: Malus domestica (apple)
Lineage: Eukaryota; Viridiplantae; Streptophyta; Magnoliopsida; Rosales; Rosaceae
Description: long non-coding RNA (MDOM_LNC003463)
Source: RNAcentral